RNAcentral lists this ribosomal RNA (1304 nucleotides) under Hemithyrsocera longiseta. Its description in RNAcentral is "16S ribosomal RNA". The stretch from base 610 to 1304 matches the Rfam family "Archaeal large subunit ribosomal RNA", at positions 1423 to 2817 of the family's 2987-position model. Lineage: Eukaryota; Metazoa; Arthropoda; Insecta; Blattodea; Blattellidae. The record is from RNAcentral.
UAUGGAAUAGUUUACAUUUAUAUUUAUAUAAGUUGAUUUUGUAAUUAAGAUAUUAAUUAGUUGAUGUAAUUUAGUAAAGAUAGAAUAUAGUUUGUGAUAUUUGCGUAGUACUGUAUGGGAAUAUUUAAUAUUAUUUUGUUUAGUAGAUUUUGUUUAUUGUACCUUGUGUAUCAGGGUUAAUUAAUUAAAAUAGUAUAAAUUUAAUUUUCUCGAAGAUAGGAGAGCUAAAUAAUUAUAUUAAUUAUUGUGGUAAAAAUAUUGGAAAUAAUUAUUUUGUAGUGAAAUAUUAGUCGUUCUUGUGGAUAUCUAGUUUCUUAAGAAAUAAAUUUAAUUUAGUUUCUGGUUUGUAAAGAUAUAUUUAUAUAAUUAUUUUUUAAAUUGGUAAUAAUGUUUUGGGGGAUAAGCUUUGAAAUUGAGUAUUAAUAAGUUUUGGAAUGAAUUUAAGUAAUAUGAAUUUAAAAUUAAUUAUUAUUGUAAAUAUGUUAAAAUUUUACUUAAUUAUUAUUCUAUUUAUAUAAUGCUUUUAAUAUUAUAUUAGGAUAUUUUAUUUAAUUUUUUUAGUAAUUGAUACAAUGAUUAAAUUAGUAUAAGUUUUUAUUUUUAAAUUGAUAAUAUUGGAAAAUUAAGUAAAGGAAUUAGGCAAAAUGAUAUUGAAUAUUCGCUUGUUUAACAAAAACAUCUUCUCUUGAAUGUUUAGGAGAUAUAACCUGCCCACUGAUUAAUUAAAGGGCCGCGGUAAUUUGACCGUGCAAAGGUAGCAUAAUCAUUAGUUUUUUAAUUGGAGGCUGGAAUGAAUGGUUGGACGAGAUAUAGACUGUCUUAAUUUAAAUAGUUGAAUUUAAUUAUUAGGUAAGAAAGCCUAAAUAAAUUUAUGGGACGAGAAGACCCUAUAGAAUUUAAUAGUUUGAUUUAUUUAUUUUGUGUGAAAAUUUUAUUUUAUAUUAAGUUAUUUUGUUGGGGUGAUAGGAAGAUAGAUUAAACUCUUUUAUUAUUAUUUAUAUUGAUUUAUGUAUUUAUGAUCCAUUAUUAGUGAUUAGUAGAUGAAAUUACCUUAGGGAUAACAGCGUAAUCUUUUUUGAGAGUUCAUAUCGACAAUAGGGAUUGCGACCUCGAUGUUGGAUUAAGAUAAAUAUUUGGUGUAGAAUUUAAAUUAUUAGGUCUGUUCGACCUUUAAAAUCUUACAUGAUCUGAGUUCAAACCGGCGUGAGCCAGGUUGGUUUCUAUCUAUAAAUUUUUAUAAUAUUUUAGUACGAAAGGACCAGGUAUUAAAAAUAAUUUUAUUGGGAUGAUUAUUAUUAAGUUGA